UGGGAACAAAUAUAUGACAUACAUACCCGCGGUGGAAGAGGAAGACUCCUGAUCAUACGAUCGAGCCAUCCAGCCACCACUGCUAGCUUAUUACCAAAACACACAGGAUCUAUACAUAGAUAUAUAGAGAGCUACAACACACCAGUGGUUGUCACAUAUAGCUACCAACAAACACUCUGGAGAAACCAAAGCAUAUAAGAUCAUGUAUGAGUUAUUUAGGCACAGACAUAUAUUGAUCAAUCAUGUCACGUAUGGAUAAAUGGAUAGACACAUGCAUGUAGAGCUCCUGAUCCUUCAUUUAAUUGAGUUUGAUUCAAUUCAAUGGUGAACGCCUCCAGGAAGCUUGUCCUUGAUCAUGUCCAUCAUUCUUUUUGUUCUCAUGACCGGCUUCCAGCUGCUCUCCUUCUGCAGCUCCUUCAUAUGAUCCUUCACGACCACUACCUGCAGCAGGUGUACAAGUAGUUGAAGCCUGCUGGUCCUUUGUUUUCCCCGUCAGCUUCUCUUUUAUCUUCUCUGUUAUCCCUAUUUUCUUCUUCCUUCUUCCCCUUCUCCAUCAUCCUCAGACUGGCAUAUAUGUUCAUCACAUUAACAACAAUUUACACCAACAUAGUACUACUUAAUCAUACGCAGUAUAUAUAUUUAUAUAACUCUUACAGAGCCGGAGCUGUUGCUACUGGUGCGGUGAUGCUGCUGUCCAUGUGUAUUGGUUUCAGUACUGAAAAUGAGGAUCUCCCCCCAAACCACCGGUGCCUGUGACGGUGCCAGUUCUGCCAUACUCAUCUGUUUGGCUUAGAACUGGAUUGCCAUAAGCAUCUGUCCGGCUCCCAUAUUGCUCUCCAUUGUUUGCCAAUUUUACCAAAAAGCUAGUGCGACUUGAAUCAAACUAAGCUCAACAAGUACUCUCUAGAUGGUUGUGAUAGUAGUGAAGUGGUGAAGAUGAUGGUUGUGAGUUGAGGGUUUAUAUAGGCAAGGGAAGUGGAGGGAAUUGAAGAGGAUACUGACACGUUAGAGGUUAUUGUGGCAAGCAGUGAUCAGUCUACUGCAUCCUGUAGGAUUCGUCCUAAUCGUGUGUACUGGGUUUUGCUGAGAUUUGUUUUGAAGUGUUAUGACUGAGAAAGGAAUUCAUGUGUACUGGGUUAACCAGAGAUUUGUCUUGCAUUGUUAUGACUGAUACAGGAAUUCAUGUGUACUGGGUUUUGCUGAGAUUUGAGAUUUGUUUUGCAGUGUUAUGACUGAGACUAGAAUUGCUCGCGUGUACUAGGUUUUGCUGAGAUAUUUGUUAUAACCGUCCGCUUACAUAUAUAUUGAAACUUGACUGCGUCCAGAAAAUAAAACCAAACAAAUGUUAGAUUUAUAUGAAAGUGGUUAAGAUGAAAUUUAUUUUGGGGUAAAUUGGCCAAUUAACCAAUAAAAUACUGACACGCAGGCGAUGUUGUAUGUGUGUUAGUAUUCUAUUGACCAAUUGACCAACUUACCAAAAAAAAAUAACUUCAGACUAACAUAGAUGUGCUACGUACCGAUCAAUCAUAAUUCAUUCAUACUCCAACAACUUUUGGAUACAGAACGGCGUUAUCAUUGGUCAUCAUGAUGAUGAUAGAUAUAUAAACACUAAAAUUUGAGAUGUAAGUUUUAGAUAUUGAUUAAACAAAGAGUAGAUAAUAAUUAAACAAUAUUAUUGGAAUAUAACAUGUUGUGUUAUCAGGCGCGCAGAGUAUAUAAAAACAUUGGUUCAUAAUGUAUGUGUGACUAAUUAAAACAUCAAAUAAAAAAUCCCAAUAAGAACCAAGUCUACAAUCCCAACACGGGAUUGAAUGAAUGAGAAAGUUGAU
RNAcentral lists this long non-coding RNA (1829 nucleotides) under Panax ginseng (ginseng). RNAcentral's name for it is "long non-coding RNA (PGIN_LNC010013)". The stretch from base 1371 to 1494 matches the Rfam family "MIR6135 microRNA precursor family". Lineage: Eukaryota; Viridiplantae; Streptophyta; Magnoliopsida; Apiales; Araliaceae. The record is from RNAcentral.